GUGCCAGCCGCCGCGGUAAUACCGGCAGCCCGAGUGAUGGCCGAUCUUAUUGGGCCUAAAGCGUCCGUAGCUGGCUGCGCAAGUCCGUCGGGAAAUCCACUCGCUCAACGAGUGGCCGUCCGGUGGAAACUCCACACCUUGGGACCGGAAGGCUCGAAGGGCACGGCCGGGGUAGGAGUGAAAUCCUGUAAUCCCGUCCGGACCACCGAUGGCGAAAGCACUUCGGGAAGACGGAUCCGACGGUGAGGAACGAAAGCCAGGGUCUCGAACCGGAUUAGAAACCCCGGUAGUCC
Molecule: ribosomal RNA, 293 nt
Filed under: uncultured bacterium
Lineage: Bacteria
Description: partial 16S ribosomal RNA
Rfam family: Archaeal small subunit ribosomal RNA
Source: RNAcentral